GAAAUGCGAUAAGUAAUGUGAAUUGCAGAAUUCAGUGAAUCAUCGAAUCUUUGAACGCACAUUGCGCCUAUUAGUAUUCUAGUAGGCAUGCCUGUUCGAGCGUCAUUUCAACCCUCAGAACCCCUUGCGGGAUCUGGCGUUGGGGAUUGGCAUCCAGCCAGCCCCGAAAUCUAGUGGCGGUCCCUCCGCGACCUCCCCUGUGCAGUAGCGAUACCUCGCAGCGGGACAGCGGUCUGACCACGCCGUAAAACCCCCAACUUCUCAAGGUUGACCUCGAAUCAGGUAGGAAUACCAGCUGAACUUCAGC
This 307-nucleotide unclassified non-coding RNA is filed under the name plant metagenome. RNAcentral describes it as "partial contains 5.8S ribosomal RNA, internal transcribed spacer 2, and large subunit ribosomal RNA". The stretch from base 1 to 105 matches the Rfam family "5.8S ribosomal RNA", at positions 50 to 154 of the family's 154-position model. The record is from RNAcentral.